ACAUGCAGUCGAGGGGCAGCAUGGUCUUAGCUUGCUAAGGCCGAUGGCGACCGGCGCACGGGUGAGUAACACGUAUCCAACCUGCCGUCUACUCUUGGACAGCCUUCUGAAAGGAAGAUUAAUACAAGAUGGCAUCAUGAGUCCGCAUGUUCACAUGAUUAAAGGUAUUCCGGUAGACGAUGGGGAUGCGUUCCAUUAGAUAGUAGGCGGGGUAACGGCCCACCUAGUCUUCGAUGGAUAGGGGUUCUGAGAGGAAGGUCCCCCACAUUGGAACUGAGACACGGUCCAAACUCCUACGGGAGGCAGCAGUGAGGAAUAUUGGUCAAUGGACGAGAGUCUGAACCAGCCAAGUAGCGUGAAGGAUGACUGCCCUAUGGGUUGUAAACUUCUUUUAUACGGGAAUAAAGUGAGGCACGUGUGCCUUUUUGUAUGUACCGUAUGAAUAAGGAUCGGCUAACUCCGUGCCAGCAGCCGCGGUAAUACGGAGGAUCCGAGCGUUAUCCGGAUUUAUUGGGUUUAAAGGGAGCGUAGGCGGACGCUUAAGUCAGUUGUGAAAGUUUGCGGCUCAACCGUAAAAUUGCAGUUGAUACUGGGUGUCUUGAGUACAGUAGAGGCAGGCGGAAUUCGUGGUGUAGCGGUGAAAUGCUUAGAUAUCACGAAGAACUCCGAUUGCGAAGGCAGCCUGCUGGACUGUAACUGACGCUGAUGCUCGAAAGUGUGGGUAUCAAACAGGAUUAGAUACCCUGGUAGUCCACACAGUAAACGAUGAAUACUCGCUGUUUGCGAUAUACAGUAAGCGGCCAAGCGAAAGCGUUAAGUAUUCCACCUGGGGAGUACGCCGGCAACGGUGAAACUCAAAGGAAUUGACGGGGGCCCGCACAAGCGGAGGAACAUGUGGUUUAAUUCG
This 907-nucleotide ribosomal RNA is filed under the name uncultured bacterium. Its description in RNAcentral is "bacterial SSU rRNA". It matches the Rfam family "Bacterial small subunit ribosomal RNA", at positions 53 to 953 of the family's 1533-position model. The record is from RNAcentral.